UACCAUGCAAGUCGAACGGUAACAUUUCUAGCUUGCUAGAAGAUGACGAGUGGCGGACGGGUGNAGAUAAUGCUUGGGAACUUGCCUUUGCGAGGGGGACAACAGUUGGAAACGACUGCUAAUACCGCAUAACGUCUUCGGACCAAACGGGGCUUUUAGCUCUGGCGCAAAGAGAGGCCCAAGUGAGAUUAGCUAGUUGGUGAGGUAAAGGCUUACCAAGGCGACGAUCUCUAGCUGUUCUGAGAGGAAGAUCAGCCACACUGGGACUGAGACACGGCCCAGACUCCUACGGGAGGCAGCAGUGGGGAAUAUUGCACAAUGGGGGAAACCCUGAUGCAGCCAUGCCGCGUGUGUGAAGAAGGCCUUCGGGUUGUAAAGCACUUUCAGUUGUGAGGAAGGGGUGUUGGUUAAUACCCAACAUCAUUGACGUUAGCAACAGAAGAAGCACCGGCUAACUCCGUGCCAGCAGCCGCGGUAAUACGGAGGGUGCGAGCGUUAAUCGGAAUUAC
This 509-nucleotide ribosomal RNA is filed under the name marine sediment bacterium ISA-3113. RNAcentral's name for it is "bacterial SSU rRNA". It matches the Rfam family "Bacterial small subunit ribosomal RNA", at positions 52 to 554 of the family's 1533-position model. The record is from RNAcentral.